AUACGAAAGGUGCAAGCGUUGUUCAGAUUUACUGGGCGUAAAGAGAGUGUAGGUUGUUUAUUAAGUCGGAUGUGAAAUCCCGGGGCUCAACCUCGGAACUGCAUUCGAUACUGGUAGACUAGAGUUCGGGAGGGGUAAGCGGAAUUCCGUGUGUAGCAGUGAAAUGCGUAGAUAUACGGAGGAACACCUGAGGCGAAGGCGGCUUACUGGACCGAUACUGACACUGAGACUCGAAAGCGUGGGUAGCAAACAGGAUUAGAAACCCCAGUAGUCC
Molecule: ribosomal RNA, 274 nt
Filed under: uncultured bacterium
Lineage: Bacteria
Description: partial 16S ribosomal RNA
Rfam family: Bacterial small subunit ribosomal RNA
Source: RNAcentral